Ostrea edulis (European flat oyster) is the source of this 356-nucleotide long non-coding RNA. RefSeq lists it as uncharacterized. NCBI's taxonomy places the organism in Eukaryota, Metazoa, Mollusca, Bivalvia, Ostreida, Ostreidae. The transcript is spliced from 3 exons. The record is from RefSeq and is a predicted model, not a curated record.
AGUGAUAGUUCCGUAAGUUAGUGGAGGGACAUCCCACGUGAUGAUGAAGGAAGAGUUCCUGUAGACAGCGUGAACGUUGACGGGUGAAGAAGGCGGAGAGCCGGCUGAAACAGUAAGAAAGAAAUGAAAACGCUGCAGCAUGACGUCAGUGGACACACAGAAAGAUUAUGUCGUUUACCGGAUCAAGAUAUAGGGCUCACGGCGGAUGUGAUCGAUCGACAAGGGAUGCUUACUCCUUGGCACCUGAUCCCACCUCUGGUUUUCAACAGUCGGAGUAGCAAGCACCACAUUGUCAGCCCAGAAAAAAAAUCGGAAUUACACGUGACAUAGAUCCAGAACAAUAAAGCUCAUAUGUG